UCUCAGAACUUCAAAGUGUGUUGGUAGCUCGCUGUGUUAAUCGAUAUAUGCGUAUAAGUCCUUUAAGGAACCUGCAGACACUGUUUUUUCCCCUUUUUUCUGUCUUGAGACUGUUUGAAUGCCAGUUCCUGCAUUGGUUUUGGCUUUAUCAAAAAAAUACACUUCAUCUCUUGCUGUUCGUAGCAUUUUGAGAGUAAAAGUAUAUUUUUAAAAUCACUUGCUGUUUGUCGUACUUGCCCAGUAUUAUUAUUUUUCCGGUAAGGGGGAACUGUGUAUGCAUACGAACACUGUCUGUGAUGAUGGAUUAUCCUAGACCACAACACCGUGGCAACAGUGGAAAAAGAAUUUGAUUUCCACUUGGAAAACAGUGCCAUAGCAACAUUGGAAUGAAGCAGACUUUUGGUAUUAUUUACUAGAUUACUGUAGCAUGACUUCAAGAUCCUGAUCUUUGCUUUUACUUAAUCAUCCUUUAGGUAUUUGUUGCUUUUAUGCUCUACACAACAAUUUUUACUGUUUUCAAAGGAAAAAAGAAAGAAUUGAUACUUAUAGUAGUUGGGUUUAGGUUUAAGUAUAUUUUCAGCACCCUACCCCCCCCCCAAAAAAAAAAAAUAAAAAGAACUUAGCAAAGUAAAAAAAUGUAUUUGUAGAACUUCUGGAUUUAAAAGAAUUACUAAAAGCUUAUUCACCAAGUCAAGAGGUAGCCUACCUGAAUAAUCAUGUGUCUUAUUUAAAAUCAGUACAAAAUUAAUUAGUCUCAAAGAACUGAAAACAUAAUUUGGAAUAGGCUAUACUUGCUAAGAUAGUUUCCUAAUACUUCUUGCAGAAUUCCAGUAAGGCUUUUGGGGGUUGCAGUAACAUAGCAUUUUUUUCCAACACAGCUCCUGAACCAAUAUAUUCCUUUAUUCUUCAGAUCCACUGCUUCAGCUGGUGAAAACCACUGAUGGUGCUGCCUAAAAACAAGCUGAAUAAAUCAACUCAAGCAAAGUAAACGUACGGACCCCCCCAGCAGUGGCUGUGGGCCCACGUCACGCGCCCCUGACGGAAGGAGGAGGCCGUUCCUGCGGGGUGGCGGCCUGGCUUCAGGAGCUCAUCCAGCAAGCUGGUGGUCCCUGGUGGUGGCCAGUGGGGCUACUUCUCCAGCUGCUCCAGCUCUUUCUCCUUCUCGCUGAGACGGAUCCAAAUCAGCUUUGCUGUACAGGAGGCAAAUCGUACAGCUCCAGCCUCCGAGGAGCAAGAAUCACGCCAAACGCCUUCCUUCUCGAGCUGCUGUGAAAGGAGAGCGGUGCGUCUGCUGCUUGUCACCUGGGGCAGGCUUUAAAAUACAAAAUAAGAAAUCCUUAUGAUAGCCUACCCUCCUUUGGGAUGGGAAAAUGGUGAUUGCCUUUGUCUUGCUGUUCUGUGAAGAACAUCACUUUAAUGGUGUAAUAAAUGUCAAAGCAAAACUUCUAAGUAGUUAAUU
RNAcentral lists this long non-coding RNA (1459 nucleotides) under Anser brachyrhynchus (Pink-footed goose). RNAcentral describes it as "lncRNA (ENSABRG00000005510.1)". The record is from RNAcentral. Lineage: Eukaryota; Metazoa; Chordata; Aves; Anseriformes; Anatidae.